GUGGGGAAUAUUGGACAAUGGGCGAAAGCCUGAUCCAGCCAUGCCGCGUGUGUGAAGAAGGUCUUCGGAUUGUAAAGCACUUUAAGUUGGGAGGAAGGGCAGUAAGUUAAUACCUUGCUGUUUUGACGUUACCGACAGAAUAAGCACCGGCUAACUUCGUGCCAGCAGCCGCGGUAAUACGAAGGGUGCAAGCGUUAAUCGGAAUUACUGGGCGUAAAGCGCGCGUAGGUGGUUCAGCAAGUUGAAGGUGAAAUCCCCGGGCUCAACCUGGGAACUGCCUCCAAAACUACUGAGCUAGAGUACGGUAGAGGGUAGUGGAAUUUCCUGUGUAGCGGUGAAAUGCGUAGAUAUAGGAAGGAACACCAGUGGCGAAGGCGACUACCUGGACUGAUACUGACACUGAGGUGCGAAAGCGUGGGGAGCAAACAGGAUUAGAAACCCUAGUAGUCC
This 450-nucleotide ribosomal RNA is filed under the name uncultured bacterium. RNAcentral's name for it is "bacterial SSU rRNA". It matches the Rfam family "Bacterial small subunit ribosomal RNA", at positions 354 to 796 of the family's 1533-position model. The record is from RNAcentral.